AUGAUUUUUUUUUUUUCUUUUUCUUUUUGUUGCUCGAACGAAGUAUGAUUUUACUCCCAACG
This 62-nucleotide non-coding RNA is filed under the name Pseudopedinella elastica. Lineage: Eukaryota; Dictyochophyceae; Pedinellales. The record is from RNAcentral.